RNAcentral lists this ribosomal RNA (241 nucleotides) under uncultured bacterium. RNAcentral describes it as "partial 16S ribosomal RNA". It matches the Rfam family "Bacterial small subunit ribosomal RNA", at positions 559 to 793 of the family's 1533-position model. The record is from RNAcentral.
CGUAAAGCGCAUGCAGGUGGUUUGUUAAGUCAGAUGUGAAAGACCCGGGGCGUUAACCUCGGAAUAGCAUUUGAAACUAGGCAGACUAGAGUACUGUAGAGGGGGGUAGGAAUUUCAGGUGUAGCGGUGAAAUAGCGUAGAGAUCUGAAGGAAUACCGGUGGCGAAGGCGGCCCCCUCGGACAGAUACUGACACUCAGAUGCGAAAGCGUGGGGAGCAAACAGGAUUAGAUACCCUGGUAG